This 366-nucleotide ribosomal RNA is filed under the name uncultured bacterium. RNAcentral's name for it is "bacterial SSU rRNA". It matches the Rfam family "Bacterial small subunit ribosomal RNA", at positions 59 to 449 of the family's 1533-position model. The record is from RNAcentral.
AAGUCGGACGGACACCUUCGGGUGUCAGUAGCGGACGGGUGAGUAACGCGUAGGAAUCUACCCCUAGGAGGGGGAUAACAGCUGGAAACGGCUGCUAAUACCCCAUACAGGCGCGAGCUGAAAGGAGCAAUCCGCCUAGGGAUGAGCCUGCGUCGGAUUAGCUAGUUGGUGGGGUAAUGGCCUACCAAGGCGACGAUCCGUAGCGGGUCUGAGAGGAUGGCCCGCCACACUGGGACUGAGACACGGCCCAGACUCCUACGGGAGGCAGCAGUGGGGAAUUUUCCGCAAUGGGCGAAAGCCUGACGGAGCAAUACCGCGUGAGGGAGGAAGGCCUUCGGGUUGGAAAGCUCUUUUCUGGGGGACGAA